This 274-nucleotide unclassified non-coding RNA is filed under the name plant metagenome. RNAcentral's name for it is "partial contains small subunit ribosomal RNA, internal transcribed spacer 1, and 5.8S ribosomal RNA". The record is from RNAcentral.
UUUCCGUAGGUGAACCUGCGGAAGGAUCAUUAACAUUAUAUGUGUGGGGGCACUUCGAAGGUUGUUGCUGACCCAAAAGUCGAUCACACCCGAGCGUGUCCUCUUGCAUCAUCAUCACUCUCACCCUAUGUGCUAACCCUCUUGCGCACACAUCGGGUUCAUCACGAAUGCGAGCUAGAGCUUUCACCCACACACCUCUUUUAACACUCUAGAAUGACCACCUUAAUGCAUUCAAUACAACUUUCACCAACGGACCUCUUGGCUCUCGCAUCGC